CCUACGGGUGGCAGCAGUGGGGAAUAUUGGGCAAUGGGCGCAAGCCUGACCCAGCAACGCCGCGUGAAGGAAGAAGGCUUUCGGGUUGUAAACUUCUUUUGACAGGGAAGAGUAGAAGACGGUACCUGUCGAAUAAGCCACGGCCAACUACGUGCCAGCAGCCGCGGUAAUACGUAGGGGGCAAGCGUUGUCCGGAUUUACUGGGGGUAAAGGGCGGGUAGCCGGGUUGGCAAGUCAGAUGUGAAAUCCCGCGGCUUAACCGCAGAACUGCAUUUGAAACUGUUGAUCUUGAGUACUGGAGAGGCAGACGGAAUUCCUAGUGUAGCGGUGAAAUGCGUAGAUAUUAGGAGGAACACCAGUGGCGAAGGCGGUCUACUGGACAGCAACUGACGGUGAGGCGCGAAAGCGUGGGGAGCAAACAGGAUUAGAUACCCCGGUAGUC
Molecule: ribosomal RNA, 442 nt
Filed under: uncultured bacterium
Lineage: Bacteria
Description: partial 16S ribosomal RNA
Rfam family: Bacterial small subunit ribosomal RNA
Source: RNAcentral